AUGGUUCUUCACCGAUGUGACAGUCCCGGCGACAUGUACCCCGUCCAGCCUUCAUCAUCAUCACACACUGCACCUCUCGCUCUUUCCGCCGGCAUUGAUCUUUGGCACGCCCGUCUCGGUCAUCCUAGCACCACCGCACUUCGUCAAAUAGUCAAGGGUUUUUCUUUUUCAUGUAAUAAAGCGGAUGCUCAUUCUUGUCAAGCAUGUCGCAUGGGCAAACAUGUUAGACUCCCGUUUAGUUCUUCUUCGACAGUUGCUUCUUAUCCUUUUGAAUUAAUUCAUAGCGAUGUGUGGACGUCACCUAUCACAAGUAAUUCUGGUUUUCUAUACUAUCUUGUUAUUCUCGAUGACUACUCUCAUUUUGUGUGGACCUUUCCGCUUCGUCGGAAAUCUGACGUUCCCGCCACCCUCCUCGCCUUUUUCUCCUAUGUGUCUACACAGUUCGGUCGUCCCAUCCAUGCUCUACAAACCGACAACGGGAAGGAAUUUGAUAACCUCACCAUCCGUACACUUCUCGCCAACCACGGCACCAUCUUUCGGUUAACCUGUCCAUACACCUCCCAGCAAAACGGUCGGGCCGAACGCGUUCUUCGCACUCUUAAUGACUGCGUCCGCACUCUUCUGUUUCACGCCUACAUGCCACCACGGUUUUGGCCGGAUGCCCUUGCCACCGCCACCCUCCUUGUUAACCUACGUCCGUGUCGUGUCCGUUGGAACUACACCCCGCAUCAUCUUCUCUUUGGGUCUCCUCCAUCCUACGACGGUCUUCGCAUUUUCGGAUGCCUCUGUUAUCCUAGUGUCGCAGCCCACGCCCCUCAUAAACUUGCCCCUCGCUCCUUACCUUGUGUCUUCCUCGGUUACCCGGCUAACACUAAAGGCUACCGAUGUUAUGAUCCGGUGUCUCACCGUGUCAUCACCUCUAGGCAUGUUUAUUUCGACGAGUGCUCUUUUCCUUUUGCACAGGAACAAAUGGAGGUGCCAGGAGAUGAUCACCCCUUGGCUGGCUCUACUCAUCAACGUGUUGCACUUGGACCUUUUCCUUUGGGUCGUGCACCGUUGGCCUCGCCAGCCCCUCUGCUGGCUUCGUUGGAGUCUUUGACGGCCUCGCCUGGCUCGUCGGCCACGCCGGGCUCUUCGCCAGCCUCG
Molecule: ribosomal RNA, 1146 nt
Filed under: Triticum aestivum (bread wheat)
Lineage: Eukaryota; Viridiplantae; Streptophyta; Magnoliopsida; Poales; Poaceae
Description: partial small subunit ribosomal RNA
Source: RNAcentral